Molecule: ribosomal RNA, 521 nt
Filed under: uncultured microorganism
Description: bacterial SSU rRNA
Rfam family: Bacterial small subunit ribosomal RNA
Source: RNAcentral
GAGUUUGAUCUUGGCUCAGAUUGAACGCUGGCGGCAGGCUUAACACAUGCAAGUCGAGCGGGGGAGAUUGCUUCGGUAAUUGACCUAGCGGCGGACGGGUGAGUAAUACUUAGGAAUCUGCCUAUUAAUGGGGGACAACAUCUCGAAAGGGAUGCUAAUACCGCAUACGCCCUACGGGGAAAGCAGGGGAUCACUUGUGACCUUGCGUUAAUAGAUGAGCCUAAGUCGGAUUAGCUAGUUGGUGGGGUAAAGGCCUACCAAGGCGACGAUCUGUAGCGGGUCUGAGAGGAUGAUCCGCCACACUGGGACUGAGACACGGCCCAGACUCCUACGGGAGGCAGCAGUGGGGAAUAUUGGACAAUGGGGGGAACCCUGAUCCAGCCAUGCCGCGUGUGUGAAGAAGGCCUUAUGGUUGUAAAAGCACUUUAAGCGAGGAGGAGGCUCCUGUAGUUAAUACCUACAGAGAGUGGACGUUACUCGCAGAAUAAGCACCGGCUAACUCUGUGCCAGCCGCCGCAACG